RNAcentral lists this long non-coding RNA (354 nucleotides) under Setaria viridis. RNAcentral's name for it is "long non-coding RNA (SVIR_LNC006867)". Lineage: Eukaryota; Viridiplantae; Streptophyta; Magnoliopsida; Poales; Poaceae. The record is from RNAcentral.
GGGCCAAUCACUCGAGCCCGUGCGAGAGAAUUAAACUUCAUCAUGUUGUUAAGGAACGAAGGCCCAUCGGAAUAAGAAGAUGGCCCAACAGGGCAGCCCAGGUGGGGCGCCUAGGGUUGGGCGCCGUGACCCCUUCGGACUCCAGGGGCUGCGCCCCCUUUAUUUAGUCCGAGUUCUUUUUGUUUACGACUUGAGUUUUGUUUUACAUCUAGCUUUAGCUACUCUUGAACACGCGCAAAUACGCGCUGUCCUUGUGUGAUUCAGAACUCCACCUUCGAGUGAUAUUUAGAUUGCUCGCCUCUCUUUCUUGUUCGUUCUUCGAUUGCGGACAGGAAUCGAUCUUCGUGAUCACGC